RNAcentral lists this long non-coding RNA (377 nucleotides) under Olea europaea subsp. europaea. Lineage: Eukaryota; Viridiplantae; Streptophyta; Magnoliopsida; Lamiales; Oleaceae. The record is from RNAcentral.
AAAACACAUUGCCGCCCUCCCUCUAUAUCUUUUAGAAAAUAUUAUGAUUGUCUGUUGUGUGUUUCUGAUUGUCUUCUGUAAUUAUGAUGAUUAAUGUGUUAAUUCUGGCACUCUUUUUGUCAAGAAUCGAAGCAUCGACACGAGAUUUCGUCACCAUUUUCGUUUGGAUCUUGUUCCAUUCUGCUGUCAGUCAACGAUGCUAGCAAAAAUGGAGCUGAAAAGCCAGACUACGCUGUGGAUUUAAAUGCCAAGAUUUUCGAUUUUGUGCUUAAGGAGACCCACACCACUUAUGCCAUUGUUGAAUUUUUUGCCCACUGGUCAGUUACUUUUUCUCUUUUCUUGUUUUUUCUUUAAAGAAUCCAUUUUUGUAAUUUGAU